UCGAACGGUAACAGGAUGUGCUUGCACAUCGCUGACGAGUGGCGGACGGGUGAGUAAUGCUUGGGAACUUGCCUUUGCGAGGGGGAUAACAGUUGGAAACGACUGCUAAUACCGCAUAAUGUCUACGGACCAAACGGGGCUUCGGCUCCGGCGCAAAGAGAGGCCCAAGUGAGAUUAGCUAGUUGGUAAGGUAACGGCUUACCAAGGCGACGAUCUCUAGCUGUUCUGAGAGGAAGAUCAGCCACACUGGGACUGAGACACGGCCCAGACUCCUACGGGAGGCAGCAGUGGGGAAUAUUGCACAAUGGGGGAAACCCUGAUGCAGCCAUGCCGCGUGUGUGAAGAAGGCCUUCGGGUUGUAAAGCACUUUCAGUUGUGAGGAAAAGUUAGUAGUUAAUACCUGCUAGCCGUGACGUUAACAACAGAAGAAGCACCGGCUAACUCCGUGCCAGCAGCCGCGGUAAUACGGAGGGUGCGAGCGUUAAUCGGAAUUACUGGGCGUAAAGCGCACGCAGGCGGUUUGUUAAGCUAGAUGUGAAAGCCCCGGGCUCAACCUGGGAUGGUCAUUUAGAACUGGCAGACUAGAGUCUUGGAGAGGGGAGUGGAAUUCCAGGUGUAGCGGUGAAAUGCGUAGAUAUCUGGAGGAACAUCAGUGGCGAAGGCGACUCCCUGGCCAAAGACUGACGCUCAUGUGCGAAAGUGUGGGUAGCGAACAGGAUUAGAUACCCUGGUAGUCCACACCGUAAACGCUGUCUACUAGCUGUGUGUGCCUUUAAG
Molecule: ribosomal RNA, 777 nt
Filed under: uncultured bacterium
Lineage: Bacteria
Description: bacterial SSU rRNA
Rfam family: Bacterial small subunit ribosomal RNA
Source: RNAcentral